CGGCAGACCCCUGGGAGGAGGCGGCGCCGCGCGGCCCCGGAGCGCGACUGCGGCCCGGGUUUCGGUUGGGCCGCCGGGGACGCCUCUGCCGCCUUGCGGGCGGGCGUGCAGCCGGGAGGGCCGAGAGCUCCCGCGGCCCCGGCGGCGCCCGGAGGAUCUAAUCUGGGAUACCAUACUUAAACAUCCAGAUCUGUAUUGAAGGAGUGUUCAGGAAUGGAGGGAAAUGAAUAAGACAAGAUCACUUUCCAUUCUGCUGAAGAUGGAACAAAAUGCAUGAGGAUUCAGUAUAUGGCAAAUGGCUUUGGCCCCAGUAGCUCCCUGCUUCAUGGCUACCUCGAUGUCAGCGCCUGCCUCCCCUUGGUUGGCUACUUUAGAUGUUGGUAUCCCAAUCGGUGGUGGUGACCCACUGUGACAUAUGAUUGAUUCGGGUGCAGUCCUACAGUCUGGUGUCUGCUCUCAUAGCCCUGGGCCCCACUACCCGUUGUACUCAAGCUAUCCAGAAAUCACGUGCUCUAGGAACUCUGGAGGUCUACAGCAGCCAGAGUCCAUCUGGUCAACACAUGGAAUCAACUUGAAGAUGAAGCCAAGUGGAUAGGGAGUGAGGGCAGGGAGGUCCUACUCUAUACUAUAUCCAUUCUAAGAAAUCCUUGUGUGGGUAAAGCCGAGUAGAAGGACAGGUUUCUACCAGUCUCUAGGAAUUGGGCAGUGAGGUCUCUGACUCACUAUAGAACCAGUUGUCCUUGUCAAGAUGGGACAAUUUCUCCUAGGAAAUUUAUAGUGGAAGAGGACUGAUGAUAACAAAUAACCAGAUGGGACUACUUGAAGUUAUUUGCCUUUGGGCAAAUUCAAGUUUAGUGUACACCUGCCGGCUCUCUCUGAAGCCUUCCUGUGCACCACACUCCCCACCCUCCCAUUCCCUGCCUUCUGUCAGCUUGCAUUCCCAUUCACCUAGGGGGGAAAAAAAAAGUGAGGAAGAAAUAGGAAGACUGAAAUAGCAUCCAAAACCCAACAUAAUUAGUCUCCUUGUCUUUCUCACACAUCAGACUUUAGAAUGUUUGAAGGUAGGGCUGUGUCUCCCACUCCUGGAUCAUUAAGGUCUUACACAGCCCCAGAGCUUAGAAAGCAUGUCAGUGAAUCUGGAAGGGCCCAUAGAGAGAGAGAAGCCUUGCAGCAUUCAGCCUGAGAAGGUUAUUGGUUUGGAUGAAAGCACUGCCUCUCCAGCAUCCUUUUAAAAAAUGCAAAUACUCAGAGGAAACAUGAGGUACUGCCCUGCUGACCAGCAAUUCUUGUUUUUGGCAGCUAUCAGAACAAGGGAGAACUACAAACAUUGGCUUUUAGAGAAAAGUCUGAAGUGUGAUAGAAAGGGCACAAAUUUGGUUAACUAAUUUGGAAAACCAUUUGGCAUAUCUCCUAAAGUUGAACAUUACGCCUACGAUCCAACAAUUUGUUCCAAGGGAUGGACCCAAGGGAAACUCAUGCAGAUAUGCAAAAGGAGAUGUGCAAGAAUGUUCAUAGUUGCACUGACACAGUGUGAAAACCUGGAACAGCUCAAAUGCCCAUCAACAGGAGAGUGGAUGGAUGAAUUGUGAUCUAUUCAUGCAACUGAAUAUUAAUAUGGGCAGAGUCGGCUUCCGGGUGCUGGCAAUUCCCAGAGAGCGUGGGCUCUGAGUGACCAGGGCAGGUGUUCAGUAACCCCCUGUCCUAAGCAGGAGCAUCCGUGGUUUAGAUGGAGGCCAUCUGGUUGAGAAGCCACUGUCUGUGUCCUUACCAAGAGGCACUGCCAUUCAGAUGGCUGCACAAGGCAGAAAAUGGAGGGGUCGUCCUGGAUGCCUCCCUCUCGUUUUCUAAUUCUUUGAAUUGGUGGAACACUUAAAAGAGGGUGGAGGGUGCUUGCUGCUUGGCUGCCCAGAAGAAUUGUGGCUGUCACUGAUAAUCAUGACUGACCAUGAGCAAGGAAAGCCUGCCAGACCUUCCCUGGUUCCUAGACAAUGGACUUAAUGCUGAUUAAACUUGCCAAAUUUCCUAGUCACUGAAUUCUGGACUUAAAAAAACAAACAAACAAAAAAAACAACCCUAUAAAAACAAGAAACCAAACCAGAAACAAAAAUAAAGUAUUGAUUUCUUGAUGAA
Long non-coding RNA from Canis lupus familiaris (dog), 2130 nucleotides. RefSeq lists it as uncharacterized. The record is from RefSeq and is a predicted model, not a curated record. The transcript has 7 exons. NCBI's taxonomy places the organism in Eukaryota, Metazoa, Chordata, Mammalia, Carnivora, Canidae.